RNAcentral lists this ribosomal RNA (468 nucleotides) under uncultured bacterium. RNAcentral's name for it is "partial 16S ribosomal RNA". It matches the Rfam family "Bacterial small subunit ribosomal RNA", at positions 28 to 507 of the family's 1533-position model. The record is from RNAcentral.
GACGAACGCUGGCGGCGUGCUUAACACAUGCAAGUCGAACGGAAAGGCCCUGCUUUUGUGGGGUGCUCGAGUGGCGAACGGGUGAGUAACACGUGAGUAACCUGCCCUUGACUUUGGGAUAACUUCAGGAAACUGGGGCUCAUACCGGAUAGGAGCUCCUGCUGCAUGGUGGGGGUUGGAAAGUUUCGGCGGUUGGGGAUGGACUCGCGGCUUAUCAGCUUGUUGGUGGGGUAGUGGCUUACCAAGGCUUUGACGGGUAGCCGGCCUGAGAGGGUGACCGGCCACAUUGGGACUGAGGUACGGCCCAGACUCCUACGGGAGGCAGCAGUGGGGAAUAUUGCACAAUGGGCGGAAGCCUGAUGCAGCGACGCCGCGUGCGGGAUGACGGCCUUCGGGUUGUAAACCGCUUUCGCCUGUGACGAAGCGUGAGUGACGGUAAUGGGUAAAGAAGCACCGGCUAACUACGUG